This is a long non-coding RNA of Megalobrama amblycephala (Wuchang bream), 1371 nucleotides long. RefSeq lists it as uncharacterized. Lineage: Eukaryota; Metazoa; Chordata; Actinopteri; Cypriniformes; Xenocyprididae. The record is from RefSeq and is a predicted model, not a curated record. The transcript is spliced from 3 exons.
CAUACACUCACCAAACAGGGUUACAUAAAACAAAGCUAGACAAGAGUACAAUGGAACAUGAGGGCUAUUUAUACAGGGAGACUAAUGACAAAACAAGGAACACCUGUGAACAAACAAGACAGAGGACCAAUGGCAAGACAGAACUGAGAUCAUAUGACAAUGACAACCAAUCAGAACAUGACACAUGAGACAGGGGAAGCACAUGACAUGAACACAUGAGGGCAAUGGAAAUCACAUGACACAAAACAUGGCAAACGAGGAAAACAAACAAAGCAAUGAAACAAAGCAUGACUACAAAAACAAACCAUAAACCGUGAACAUAAAACAAAACCAAAACAAGACAUGACAUGACAUUACACCGUAGAAAUGCAAAUUCUGCAUAUGGGAAUUUUUUUUCCUCAAAAGGAGCUUAAAGGUCCACGCUUGUCAACCUUCGGAAAUAAAUAGUAUUUUAAAUAGAUGAAUCUAAAUUUUGAGCAAAAAGCGUUCCCCCCAUGGCCCUCUGCGGACAGUGGUCUCUACCCAUGCGAUAUCUGGACUCUAGCAGCUGUUAAGAUCCACUGCCAGAAAAGCCUCCUCAUCCCCCACGUUGUCAAGGCCGCAACGAGCAUAUAAGGACCAGCGGAGGACCAGCUGUGACUGAGAGCCCUGUGACCUGCAGCUCCCACCACGAGCUGAACCGACAAACCCUUUCCAAACUCUGCUUCAAGACCGUUUCGUCUGCCUCAGAGAGCACUUGGCUUUCACGCCCAUCAUUUUAUGUUGGCUGAAGCUGACGACACAAUAUUCAGCAAUGAACGGUGAAUAUAUUGCAAAUGACCAGGAGCUGGAAGUGGGAGCUAAAAAGUGGGCCGCACAUCCUCAGCCUUGAGGGGGGUGUAGCUGUGAAGGCCAGAUAUGAGAGGGGCUCAUCUGCAAAACAGAGGAGGAGGGGGAGGGAGACGCGGAAGAGGGAUGUCGUUUGGCCGUAGCUUGUCGAUUGGCCUUGAGAAACGAUUUACAUGCCCUGCACCCCCGACCACUGAUGCAAAUGCUGACAACCAAGAAUCAGCCUAUGAUAACCCACACAGGACAUGGUCAGAGAGGUCAGAGCUGAAAAACUCUUGCUCUCGCCACAACUGCGCUUUUUGUUGAGUAUCAUAUUUGAUAAUUCAGGCUUUUAUGGCGCAUAUAGCAUGACAUAGUGAGAAUAUGGAGGAAAAAACAGCUCAAUUUUAUUCCAAACAAGCAAAAAUAUGCAAUUUGGUGCAGAUGCUGAUAUUUGGACAAAAAGUGAGAUGAAAUUAUAAUAGCUUUUAAUGUAAAUAAAUUAGAUCUUUAUAACAGACUACUUACAUAAAAUGUAGAUAAAUAUCAGUCAUCACUCUAUAU